Molecule: ribosomal RNA, 405 nt
Filed under: uncultured bacterium
Lineage: Bacteria
Description: bacterial SSU rRNA
Rfam family: Bacterial small subunit ribosomal RNA
Source: RNAcentral
GUACUCAACAAGGAAGUGACGGCUAACUACGUGCCAGCAGCCGCGGUAAAACGUAGGUCACAAGCGUUGUCCGGAAUUACUGGGUGUAAAGGGAGCGCAGGCGGGCAGACAAGUUGGAAGUGAAAUCCAUGGGCUCAACCCAUGAACUGCUUUCAAAACUGUAUGUCUUGAGUAGUGCAGAGGUAGGCGGAAUUCCCGGUGUAGCGGUGGAAUGCGUAGAUAUCGGGAGGAACACCAGUGGCGAAGGCGGCCUACUGGGCACCAACUGACGCUGAGGCUCGAAAGUGUGGGUAGCAAACAGGAUUAGAUACCCUGGUAGUCCACACCGUAAACGAUGAUUAUUAGGUGUUGGAGGAUUGACCCCUUCAGUGCCGCAGUUAACACAAUAAGUAAUCCACCUGGGGA